GCCCGCCUUCGCGCGGCGGACCAGGCGCUGCCGCUGGUGCGGGCGGCCGGCGGCUGGAGCGCGGUACGGCGCACCGUGCGGCCCGGCGGGGCGCGCG
RNAcentral lists this transfer RNA (97 nucleotides) under Streptomyces sp. M56. RNAcentral's name for it is "tRNA-Thr". Lineage: Bacteria; Bacillati; Actinomycetota; Actinomycetes; Kitasatosporales; Streptomycetaceae. The record is from RNAcentral.